RNAcentral lists this ribosomal RNA (546 nucleotides) under Dietzia maris. Its description in RNAcentral is "bacterial SSU rRNA". It matches the Rfam family "Bacterial small subunit ribosomal RNA", at positions 94 to 655 of the family's 1533-position model. Lineage: Bacteria; Bacillati; Actinomycetota; Actinomycetes; Mycobacteriales; Dietziaceae. The record is from RNAcentral.
AGUGGCGAACGGGUGAGUAACACGUGGGUAAUCUGCCCUGCACUUCGGGAUAAGCCUGGGAAACCGGGUCUAAUACCGGAUAUGAACUCCUGCCGCAUGGUGGGGGUUGGAAAGUUUUUCGGUGCAGGAUGAGCCCGCGGCCUAUCAGCUUGUUGGUGGGGUAAUGGCCUACCAAGGCGACGACGGGUAGCCGGCCUGAGAGGGUGAUCGGCCACACUGGGACUGAGACACGGCCCAGACUCCUACGGGAGGCAGCAGUGGGGAAUAUUGCACAAUGGGCGAAAGCCUGAUGCAGCGACGCCGCGUGGGGGAUGACGGUCUUCGGAUUGUAAACCCCUUUCAGUAGGGACGAAGCGCAAGUGACGGUACCUGCAGAAGAAGCACCGGCUAACUACGUGCCAGCAGCCGCGGUAAUACGUAGGGUGCGAGCGUUGUCCGGAAUUACUGGGCGUAAAGAGCUCGUAGGCGGUUUGUCACGUCGUCUGUGAAAUCCCUCGGCUUAACCGGGGGCGUGCAGGCGAUACGGGCAGACUUGAGUACUACAGG